Molecule: ribosomal RNA, 1019 nt
Filed under: uncultured bacterium
Lineage: Bacteria
Description: bacterial SSU rRNA
Rfam family: Bacterial small subunit ribosomal RNA
Source: RNAcentral
AGGAAUAUUGGUCAAUGGGCGAGAGCCUGAACCAGCCAAGUAGCGUGAAGGAUGACGGCCCUACGGGUUGUAAACUUCUUUUGUGCGGGAAUAAAGGAGCCUACGUGUAGGCUUUUGCAUGUACCGUAACGAAUAAGCAUCGGCUAACUCCGUGCCAGCAGCCGCGGUAAUACGGAGGAUGCGAGCGUUAUCCGGAUUUAUUGGGUUUAAAGGGAGCGUAGACGGGUUUUUAAGUCAGCUGUGAAAGUUUGGGGCUCAACCUUAAAAUUGCAGUUGAAACUGGAGACCUUGAGUACGGUUGAGGCAGGCGGAAUUCGUGGUGUAGCGGUGAAAUGCUUAGAUAUCACGAAGAACCCCGAUUGCGAAGGCAGCCUGCUAAGCCGCCACUGACGUUGAGGCUCGAAAGUGCGGGUAUCAAACAGGAUUAGAUACCCUGGUAGUCCGCACGGUAAACGAUGGAUACUCGCUGUUGGCGAUAGACGGUCAGCGGCCAAGCGAAAGCGUUAAGUAUCCCACCUGGGGAGUACGCCGGCAACGGUGAAACUCAAAGGAAUUGACGGGGGCCCGCACAAGCGGAGGAACAUGUGGUUUAAUUCGAUGAUACGCGAGGAACCUUACCCGGGCUUGAACUGCGGUGGAAUUAUCCGGAAACGGAUAAGCGAGCAAUCGCCGCUGUGGAGGUGCUGCAUGGUUGUCGUCAGCUCGUGCCGUGAGGUGUCGGCUUAAGUGCCAUAACGAGCGCAACCCUUGCUGCCAGUUACUAACAGGUCAUGCUGAGGACUCUGGCAGGACUGCCAUCGUAAGAUGCGAGGAAGGUGGGGAGGACGUCAAAUCAGCACGGCCCUUACGUCCGGGGCUACACACGUGUUACAAUGGGGAGUACAGAGGGCAGCUACCGGGCGACCGGAUGCGAAUCCCGAAAGCUCCUCUCAGUUCGGACUGGAGUCUGCAACCCGACUCCACGAAGCGGGAUUCGCUAGUAAUCGCGCAUCAGCCACGGCGCGGUGAAUACGUUCCCG